CUACGGGCGGCUGCAGUGGGGAAUUUUGGACAAUGGGGGCAACCCUGAUCCAGCCAUGCCGCGUGAGUGAAGAAGGCCUUCGGGUUGUAAAGCUCUUUCGCAAGGAAAGAAAACUUACCUUUUAAUAAAGGGUAAGGCUGACGGUACCUUGAUAAGAAGCACCGGCUAACUACGUGCCAGCAGCCGCGGUAAUACGUAGGGUGCGAGCGUUAAUCGGAAUUACUGGGCGUAAAGCGUGCGCAGGCGGUUCGACAAGUCUGAUGUGAAAUCCCCGGGCUUAACCUGGGAACUGCGUUGGAAACUGUCGGGCUAGAGUGUAGAAGAGGGGGGUAGAAUUCCACGUGUAGCAGUGAAAUGCGUAGAGAUGUGGAGGAAUACCGAUGGCGAAGGCAGCCCCCUGGGCUAACACUGACGCUCAUGCACGAAAGCGUGGGGAGCAAACAGGAUUAGAUACCCUUGUAGUC
RNAcentral lists this ribosomal RNA (464 nucleotides) under uncultured bacterium. RNAcentral describes it as "partial 16S ribosomal RNA". It matches the Rfam family "Bacterial small subunit ribosomal RNA", at positions 339 to 795 of the family's 1533-position model. The record is from RNAcentral.